AGCUAUAUGAAUUAAUAUAUAGUUAUUUCUGCUCAAUGAGUUUUAAAUAGCCGCAGUACCCUGACUGUGCAAAGGUAGCAUAAUCAGUUGGCUUUUAAUUAAAGUCUGGUAUGAACGAAAACAUGGGUAGUAACUGUCUUAACAUAUUUAUUUGAACUUAUUAAACAAGUGCAAAGGCUUGUAGACAUAUAAUAGACGAGAAGACCCUAGAAACUUGAACUAGUUUUUGUUGGGGCGACAGGAUUACAUAAAACUUAUCUUAAAAUAUAUGACAUAAUAUUGAAAAUAUAAGUUACUCUAGGGAUAACAGCAUAAUUUUAUAAGUUUGUGACCUCGAUGUUGGACUAGGUACUAUAUCCUUAAGACAAGGAUAUAUUAUGCUCUGUUCGAGCUAAAUUACCUACAU
Molecule: ribosomal RNA, 406 nt
Filed under: Helix lutescens
Lineage: Eukaryota; Metazoa; Mollusca; Gastropoda; Stylommatophora; Helicidae
Description: partial 16S ribosomal RNA
Rfam family: Archaeal large subunit ribosomal RNA
Source: RNAcentral